This 414-nucleotide ribosomal RNA is filed under the name Ophiuroidea sp. NHM_072. RNAcentral's name for it is "partial 16S ribosomal RNA". It matches the Rfam family "Bacterial large subunit ribosomal RNA", at positions 1953 to 2605 of the family's 2925-position model. Lineage: Eukaryota; Metazoa; Echinodermata; Ophiuroidea. The record is from RNAcentral.
AAGGUAGCAUAAUCAUUAGCCUACUAAUUAUAGGCUGGAAUCAACGGUUAGACGAGGAAGAUACUGUCUCUUAUUAUUUUAAUCUAAAUUUAGGUUAGGGUGAAGACUCCCUAAUUACCUAGCGGGACGAGAAGACCCUAUUGAGCUUUAGUUAAAGUUAAAAUAAACUAACCAUACUUUGGUUGGGGCAACCGCAAAACUAUUAAACAUUGCUUAUCAUAAAUAAAUUGAUUUAUACCAAACCUUAUAAAAAAUAAGAAAAAGAACAAGUUACCUUAGGGAUAACAGCGUAAUUUUUCUUGAGAGUCCAUAUUGACAGAAAAGUUUGCGACCUCGAUGUUGAAUCAAGAAUCUCCUGGGGGUGCAGAAGCUCCCAAAGGUUGGUUUGUUCAACCAUAAAAGUCUUACGUGAUC